GCCCUUCAAGCAUCAACGGUGAUGCACCGCCCUUGUAGCGCGGGGACGCCGGGUUCGAUCCCCGGGUGGGGCU
RNAcentral lists this transfer RNA (73 nucleotides) under Nannocystis sp. SCPEA4. RNAcentral's name for it is "tRNA-Thr". It matches the Rfam family "tRNA". Rfam says of the family: Transfer RNA (tRNA) molecules are approximately 80 nucleotides in length. Their secondary structure includes four short double-helical elements and three loops (D, anti-codon, and T loops). The record is from RNAcentral. Lineage: Bacteria; Pseudomonadati; Myxococcota; Nannocystales; Nannocystaceae.